GAUCCAAAUCACUGACCCGACCUGUCUUGUUCAUUACAUACACCCUUAAACAUUAGGUUUUGUUUCCUAAUCUCAUCUGCCGCUUGAGCUCCAGCUAAAAAUGUUUCCAACUCCACUGAUGAACCUGAGCUUCCUUUUGAAGAUGUUGUGGAUCAUUAAUUCUUUCCCAUGGCCAUGUAGUAAACUAGAUCGUAUAUCAGCUAUUAGAACUGUGUCCUCCGAUUGUUGGGAAUAUCCAAAGUUUUUUGGUGCUUGAUUGAAGGGUUUUGACCCCUAAAAGUGCAUAAACAUAUAGAUCGAACGUUUAGUUGUCGUCGUUGAUGGUGCGAUUGUGCUGAUUAGAGUUUGGAGACAGGGUCAAGGAUUUAGCUGAAGAAGAAACUUGGAAAUGUAGAAGAAAAAGGCCACUGACGAUCAAACUGGCUAACUGUCAGGGUGACCAUCAAGGUUAAUCAGACCUCUGAUGAUCCAUUAACUUGGCCAUCAGGAUGAAAUAGUGUAUGGAAUCUCAGGUCAUCAAGCGAUGGUCUACAUGAUAGACCGUCAGGACAGUGACGACCUGUCACCAUGACCGACACCCCUUAACCAAAAAGUGGCCGUUUGGGACCAUUAGCGACAGUUCAUGUGAUGGAUCGUCAGGCUUCUGACAGGCCUUCAACAUGACCAUCAACUUUUAUGUGGCUUUAAUAAGUUUAAAUUUAAAAUUUCCAGUACCUGGAAACAUAUAAAUACCCAGUUUAGGUUUUAUUUAGGUAUUUUUUUAUGAUAUUUCUAUCAUUGAAAACUGAUUGUAACGUAGUAUUCUCUGAGAUUCAAGAAAAAUUAUUGUAACUUUUAUAAGUAAUUCUCUAAAUUUAUUUAUGAAUAACACAAUGAUUUCUUCUUCUCC
Molecule: long non-coding RNA, 889 nt
Organism: Capsicum annuum
Lineage: Eukaryota; Viridiplantae; Streptophyta; Magnoliopsida; Solanales; Solanaceae
Exons: 4
Source: RefSeq, a predicted model, not a curated record